AUUCAGCAUUGUCAUGGGUGGGGUGAGUCCUUAAUCGCACAAAGAUACAGAGCACUACAUCUUGAGUUAGCAUUAGUUAAAACUUAACUGAGCACUACCCUAUUAUCUUAACUCUUAAAAUAUCUGAGGCAUAAGUAUGUGUGUAUUUGUUUUAUUCAUAAUUUGAGUCAUCUUGGGAUACCAAAUGUAUUUCUACUUAAGGUGAUUUGACAAAACUGUUGACCUCAUUUCAAGAUAUCACUGAUCGAUUUUCCAUUCAACAGCAAUACCCAAUGUCAAAAGGAACAUAAAACAAACAUGCACACAAUUGUACAGUUUUCUCAGAUGUCUAUUUCAUUAUUUGUGGGUAGCGCAUUGAACAGUUAAAUACAUUUAAAUAAUGUUUAAGUGACUGCGCUAGUGCAGACUUGUAACUAGACGGGUAACCAAUUUAACUAGAAACCAGCUAACAAGUAACUGUCUAAAUACAAAUACAGCUCUUGUACUCUUUUUGGGAAAAAGCCUGCUGGUCACAUUGGAAAUACGUUUUAAGGCCAAAUUCUUCUGAUAUCCCUUCUCUGCAGCAGUUUCUUCACCUUUUUAGGCCUCCAAUUCCAGGCCAAGACCAAGUUUAUGGCCACCAGCAUUGAUGCUCUUUCCAUCUAUCAGGGCAGACAAAGUAAGCUUCACACCUGGCCUCAGGGUCUGGGUGUAACCCACUCCAACUAGACUAGAGUUGUUCACUUUUGCAGAGAUAGAAGCGGUGGAAUCCAACUUGUAUUUAGCUGCAAUUCCAAAGCGAGUGCUGUUGCUACCAGCUGUCCAUGCCAGGUUUACAGCAGUCUCAAGAUUGUCACUCACUUUCUGGUAAAUUGAACCGCCAAAUUCCGAACCAUCAUUGACAUUGGUGUGAAGCUGGAAGUCUCCAGUCUUGUAACCCACAGAGAAGUUAUUCCUUGUCAAUUUUGAUUUGGCACUAUCAAAAGUCAUUUGAUAGCCCGCUAGCCAUCCUUCAUAACCAAAGACCGCUGAACCAUGGAUUGCAGGCCCAGCAAAAUCAAAGUCAACGUCACAACCUAGGUUUAGGCAUUCACGUUUAUAUGCUGACUUAAUUUUACCACUUUUCUUUCCUGUAUUUGGUGAGAAAGUUGUAUCAAACGUCAACUUCAAGCCUUUGGCAAUCUGAUCUUCAAUUGCAAUUUCUGUUCCCAGAGUGUUAUCUGUGUUCCACUUUUCUGUGAAAGUCAGCCCAUACUCAGCCCACUUGUAUUUGGUCUCCAAGCUUCCAUUCACUUUUCCAGUGUCUGUGUUCGAUGAACCAGAUGUUGUGAAUUCCACUCCACUUGCAGAUUUUGUCUUCACAUCCAGUUUCACCAGCCCAAACCCAUAUCCUUUGUUGAAGAUAUCUCUGGCAGAUUUGCCAAGGUCUGCAUAUGAUGGAGGAAUCGCCAUUGGAGCUUGCUAGCGUGGGAGGGCGGCGGGGCCGGGCGGAGCGGGACCGGGGGCGCGGGCGGGUCUCGCCGUGAGGAGGCCGCGCUGCUGCAGCCGCUGGCACUGGAGGGCGAAGUGAAGGAGACACCGAUCCGCCCGCCCGCCGCCGCCCCGCAGGACCCCGGUCGGCCGGGGCCGUCCCGCGAGGUGCCGGUCCCCACGGAGCUCCCCGCGCGCCCGUCCGACCGCCCCGAGCAACCCCAGAACGGGGACACGAGACACCGGCCGUGCGGAACGCCGUGCCCUCGGCGCGGAGCCGGGCGGGGGCGGCGCGGGCCGGCAGGCGCUGAUCCGGGCAGCCCCGGCGGCGGAGAGGGGUCCUCGGGGGUGGGCGGGGCCCGCGGAGGAGGGCGGCAACGGCCGCGCCCGGCACCCGCGACGCGUCCGCCGCUCCCCCCGCGCCGAGCGGGUGCGGCCCCGCGGGGUGCGGGACGGGUGGAGCGCCUGCCUUGGCUCGACUGCCUCCGUCAGUCUAGCGGCCCUCACGCGGAGAGCCCCGUACACCGGUCACGGGCCUCACCCGCGGCCCGCCUGGCAAAAGUGCGACCUGAGAAACUUCCGCCCCGUAACGCUGCCGCUCUGCCUCUGCUCACGGGAGGGCCCCGCGCACACCGGCACACACAGCGUGGCUCGGGGCGAGCAGCGACCCUGACAGCUCCGUACGCUGCGAUUCCGUUCGUCAGGAACGGCCGGACGACAGCGCAGUGAUCGCCUUGCGGCAGCCCAAGUCCUCCCAGGCCCAGCGGCUGCAGCGCGGGCACUCCCUACGAGCACUCACUAUGUUAGCCAUGGUCAGAACGCGUCAUAAAAGUGAAAGCGAUUUACAACUGCAAAUUAUAUUUGAAUAACAUGAAGAACAUGUUAACAAGCACUACCGGUUCCCCAUAACACAGGGUGCAACAGCAGUUUUCCAUGUUACUGGAGCAGACAGCCUGGCAGUAAGGCCCAGCAAUGCCCAUAGCAUCUAGUUCUGUCAGCUGGUAAGCAGUUGGGUCUUCUUUGCCUAAGCCCCGUGCUCGCCCAUCUGAAGACCCACCAGGUUAAUGCAUUUUAUCCAUGAAUUAAGAAAAAACACAUGGAGAGAACAAACAAUAGCCAGCCAGACUGAUUGCACUUGUAACAGAGGUCUUGUUGACUAAAAAUAGACCGUGGCAUAAGUUGUUCAUAAUGUAAGUUCAUUCUGAGUAGAAUUUCAGUUACUUACAUCAGAAUGGUAGGGUGAAGGUUUUUUUUUUUUUUUAUAUUAGUCAUGGUUUGGCUUUGUCAUUUUAAGCAAUCCAGUAAAGUACUUACUGCCCCACCCUGGAGGAAGAAGUUCUGAAUCACUUAUCUUAUGAAACAGUACAUACACAGUACACACACUCCACAGUGAAUGCUGCAGGCUUCUGCAGUUAGAGCCCAUCUCCAUUUCCCACACACUCCUACAAUCCCCCCUUGUACCCCACAGCAUAGCCUCAGAACCUCAGCAUACCACAAAAGGAAUGCCUUCAGGCCUGC
Molecule: long non-coding RNA, 2967 nt
Filed under: Gallus gallus (chicken)
Lineage: Eukaryota; Metazoa; Chordata; Aves; Galliformes; Phasianidae
Source: RNAcentral